This 468-nucleotide ribosomal RNA is filed under the name uncultured bacterium. RNAcentral describes it as "partial 16S ribosomal RNA". It matches the Rfam family "Bacterial small subunit ribosomal RNA", at positions 28 to 507 of the family's 1533-position model. The record is from RNAcentral.
GACGAACGCUGGCGGCGUGCUUAACACAUGCAAGUCGAACGGAAAGGCCCUGCUUUUGUGGGGUGCUCGAGUGGCGAACGGGUGAGUAACACGUGAGUAACCUGCCCUUGACCUUGGGAUAACUUCAGGAAACUGGGGCUAAUACCGGAUAGGAGCUCCUGCUGCAUGGUGGGGGUUGGAAAGUUUCGGCGGUUGGGGAUGGACUCGCGGCUUAUCAGCUUGUUGGUGGGGUAGUGGCUUACCAAGGCUUUGACGGGUAGCCGGCCUGAGAGGGUGACCGGCCACAGUGGGACUGAGAGACGGCCCAGACUCCUACGGGAGGCAGCAGUGGGGAAUAUUGCACGAUGGGCGGAAGCCUGAUGCAGCAACGCCGCGGGCGGGAUGAAGGCCUUCGGGUUGUAAACCGAUUUCGCCUGUGACGAAGAGUGAGUGACGGUAAUGGGUAAAGAAGCACCGGCUAACUACGUG